UACGUAGGGGGCAAGCGUUGUCCGGAAUCAUUGGCGUAAAGCGCGUGUAGGCGGUUCGAUAAGUCUGCUGUGAAAGUCCAGGGCUCAACCCUGGAAAGCCGGUGGAUACUGUCGGACUAGAGUACGGAAGAGGCGAGUGGAAUUCCCGGUGUAGCGGUGAAAUGCGCGGAUAUCGGGAGGAACACCAAUUGCGAAGGCAGCUCGCUGGGACGUCACUGACGCUGAGACGCGAAAGCGUGGGGAGCAAACAGG
RNAcentral lists this ribosomal RNA (252 nucleotides) under uncultured bacterium. Its description in RNAcentral is "partial 16S ribosomal RNA". It matches the Rfam family "Bacterial small subunit ribosomal RNA", at positions 524 to 776 of the family's 1533-position model. The record is from RNAcentral.